CAAUAGCGUAUAUUAAAGUUGUUGCGGUAAAAAAGCUCGUAGUUGGAUUUCUACCGAAGAUAGCCGGUCGGGUCUUCGACCUUGUAUCUGGUUUUGUCUUUGGUAUCCUCAUAGGGAACGUUUCUGCGCUUUAUUGCGUGGUGCGGUAUCUAUGACUUUUACUUUGAGGAAAUUAGAGUGUUCACGGCAGGCAAACGCCUUGAAUAUAUUAGCAUGGAAUAAUAACAUAGGAUCUUCGUCCUAUUUUGUUGGUUUCUAGGGCUAAGAUAAUGAUUAAUAGGGAUAAUUGGGGGCAUCUGUAUCAACGCGUCAGAGGUGGAAUUCUUUGAUUGCGUUGCGACAAACUACUGCGAAAGCAUUUGCCAAGGAUGUUUUCAUUGA
This 381-nucleotide ribosomal RNA is filed under the name uncultured eukaryote. Its description in RNAcentral is "partial 18S ribosomal RNA". It matches the Rfam family "Eukaryotic small subunit ribosomal RNA", at positions 592 to 976 of the family's 1831-position model. The record is from RNAcentral.